RNAcentral lists this ribosomal RNA (254 nucleotides) under uncultured bacterium. RNAcentral describes it as "partial 16S ribosomal RNA". It matches the Rfam family "Bacterial small subunit ribosomal RNA", at positions 524 to 776 of the family's 1533-position model. The record is from RNAcentral.
UACAGAGGUCUCAAGCGUUGUUCGGAUUCAUUGGGCGUAAAGGGUGCGUAGGUGGCAUGGUCAGUCGGAUGUGAAAUCCCGGAGCUCAACUUCGGAAUUGCCUUUGAUACUGUCUGUCUUCGAGUUCGGGAGAGGUUGGCGGAAUUCCUAGUGUAGAGGUGAAAUUCGUAGAUAUUAGGAAGAACACCAGUGGCGAAGGCGGCCAACUGGCCCGAUACUGACGCUCAUGUGCGAAAGCGUGGGGAGCAAACAGG